UACGUAUGGGGCAAGCGUUAUCCGGAAUUAUUGGGCGUAAAGAGUGCGUAGGUGGUUUUUUAAGCGUGGGGUUUAAGGCUACGGCUUAACCGUAGUUCGCCCCAUGAACUGGGAGACUUGAGUGCAGGAGAGGAAAGCGGAAUUCCUAGUGUAGCGGUGAAAUGCGUAGAUAUUAGGAGGAACACCGGUGGCGAAGGCGGCUUUCUGGACUGUAACUGACACUGAGGCACGAAAGCGUGGGGAGCAAACA
RNAcentral lists this ribosomal RNA (250 nucleotides) under uncultured prokaryote. RNAcentral describes it as "partial 16S ribosomal RNA". It matches the Rfam family "Bacterial small subunit ribosomal RNA", at positions 524 to 774 of the family's 1533-position model. The record is from RNAcentral.